This is a non-coding RNA of Arvicanthis niloticus (Nile rat), 213 nucleotides long. The record is from RefSeq and is a predicted model, not a curated record. Lineage: Eukaryota; Metazoa; Chordata; Mammalia; Rodentia; Muridae.
AUAGAUGUGUGCAUCUGUGUCUGCUGCAGCCCCGCUUGCCACAGGACAGACUUCGAUCUAGUUCAAUAUGAGUCUCGUGAGCUACAACCCAAGUAGCCUAGGAGCUGCUUAAGAAAAGAAUGUCCUGCAUUACACACAGGUUGGACACAACAGGGGCACAGCCAGCACUGGGUAUUAUCCCGAAGGACCUAAGAGCCACAGAUGCCUCCUGAA